AGAGUUUGAUCAUGGCUCAGAAUGAACGCUGGCGGCAGGCCUAACACAUGCAAGUCGAGCGGGGACUUCGGUCCUAGCGGCGGACGGGUGAGUAACGCGUGGGAACAUACCCUUUGGUACGGAAUAGCCUCGGGAAACUGAGAGUAAUACCGUAUGUGGUCGUAAGACGAAAGAUUUAUCGCCAAAGGAUUGGCCCGCGUUGGAUUAGGUAGUUGGUGGGGUAAUGGCCUACCAAGCCGACGAUCCAUAGCUGGUUUGAGAGGAUGAUCAGCCACACUGGGACUGAGACACGGCCCAGACUCCUACGGGAGGCAGCAGUGGGGAAUCUUAGACAAUGGGCGCAAGCCUGAUCUAGCCAUGCCGCGUGAUCGAUGAAGGCCUUAGGGUUGUAAAGAUCUUUCAGUGGGGAAGAUAAUGACGGUACUUAAGAAGAAGCC
Molecule: ribosomal RNA, 437 nt
Filed under: uncultured Rhodobacter sp.
Lineage: Bacteria; Pseudomonadati; Pseudomonadota; Alphaproteobacteria; Rhodobacterales
Description: bacterial SSU rRNA
Rfam family: Bacterial small subunit ribosomal RNA
Source: RNAcentral